CCUGGAAUUAGAGUGUGUCCGCCCGAGCGAGUGAUGCCUAAAACAUGCAAACAAAACUGAAGACCAGGAACUGGAACCUGGGAACCUGGAAGAUGAUGUUGUCCUGAAGGACACAAUUCAGGCAGCAGCAUGGUGCCAGUUACAGUCUUUCAAGGACAGCGUUUCUCUCCCAGAGGUCAUUGGGAUGGAAGGUUGGGAGCAGAUGGCAGCAUCAACACAGCGCAAAUCCCAUGACGGCGGGGAUGAGGAAGAAACGUGGAAACCAUUCCAAUUCUCAUUCAGAUUACAUACUGACUAUGAACUGUUUUGUGUGGAGAUGAUGGACAGGAGAAACCUGAAGGUGUUUGCCUCUUUUGAGUCAAACACCUCUCCCCCUCCCCCUCCCCGUGACGCCUGCGCCACACGACUCCAAUGUAGUCUGAUGAUGCAGCAUAAUGGCGACGCUUGGC
Gadus morhua (Atlantic cod) is the source of this 449-nucleotide long non-coding RNA. NCBI's taxonomy places the organism in Eukaryota, Metazoa, Chordata, Actinopteri, Gadiformes, Gadidae. The record is from Ensembl.